RNAcentral lists this non-coding RNA (166 nucleotides) under Robbsia andropogonis. The record is from RNAcentral. Lineage: Bacteria; Pseudomonadati; Pseudomonadota; Betaproteobacteria; Burkholderiales; Burkholderiaceae.
UGAGAGUGCACGCCUGGCGGCCUGCAAACACGCCCAUGCCGUAGAAUACGCGAAUCGGGGAGCGGAAGCCGGUGGGAAUCCGGCGCGGUCGCGCCACUGUAUCCGGACCACAUGCCACGGCGCAUUAUGUUUCGGUAGCCAGACCUGCCCCUGUAGUACGGUCGUU